ACUGCACUCCAGCCUGGGCGACAGAGCAAGACCCUGGCUCAAAAAUAAAAAAUAAAAAGAAAAGAAAAUGGCAGGACAGAGAGGUGAAAAGACAAGUGGAAAUAGGAUCCAGAUCACAGCCUGAGGCCAAAGUCCCCCUUACUUUUUUUUUUUUUUUUUUUUUUUUUGAGAUGUAGUCUCACUCUAUCGCCCAGGCUGGCGUGUAGUGGCGCGAUCUCGGCUCACUGCAAGCUCCGCCUCCUGGGUUCACGCCAUUCUCCUGCCUCAGCCUCCCUAGUAGCUGGGACUACAGGCGCCUGCCACCAUGCCCGGCUAAUUUUUUACAUUUUUAGUAGAGACGGGGUUUCACUGUGUUAGCCAGGAUAGUCUCCAUUUCCUGACCUCGUGAUCCGCCUGCCUCAGCCUCCCAAAGUGCUGGGAUUACAGGUGUGAGCCACGGCGCCCGGCAAUCCCCCUUACUUUUAACCAGCAUGCCAGCUACUCAGAUGACAGACAUUUAGCAGCUAAGAGCAAGGACUCUAUAGCCAGGCAGCAUGAGUUCCAAAAUCCCAGCUCUGCCACUUACAAGCUGUGAUUAUUGGGUAAGUUUCUUGCUCUCUGGAUCUGUUUCACCUUUAAAUGGGGCUUAUAGCAGAACCUGUCUUGUGGACUGUGAUUAGAAUUAAUAUGUUUAACGUGCUUAGAAAGGGGCGUCACACACCAUGAGUGCUACAUAAUUGUGGCCACCUUUUUCUUUCUCUAAUUAGUAGUUCUACUCUAUCACUGGGUCACUGCAUGACCUGCCGUUUCUUCCUUCUGGCCUUCGGGGUCUUGCUGCUGAAAAUAAGAUAAGACGGCCACAUUCAGCUGGGAGCUGAAAGAUGAAGGACCUGGGCCCGGCACAGCCACAAAAAAGCCCCAUUUUUCUGUUCUCAGACAUGAUCUCUAUGAGAGCAAGGGGUCAGGAAUCGGGGCUGCUUCCCGUUUCCACAUCUGCAGCACCCAGGAGGGGGCUCUGGCACUGGACUGUGUCACUGAAUGUUUGUCAAAUGAAUGAACAAAUGAACAAGAGGAGGAACAGAGGGAGAUGCAGAAAGAAAGCAGGAGGCUGGGUGCGGUGGCUCAUGCCUGUGAUCCCAGCACUUUGGGAGGCUGAGGCAGGAGGAUCGCUUUAGAUCAGGGGUUCGAGACCAGCCUGGGCAACAUAGCAAGCCCUGCCUCUACAAAAAGUGAAAAAACUUGCUGUGCAUGGUGGUGCACACCUGUGGUCCCAGCUACUUGAGGGGCUGAAGUGGGAGGAUGAGGGGAGGUGGUAGGGGCUGAGGUGGGAGGGGUUGAGCUCAGGAGGUGGAGGCUGCAGUGAGCUGAGAUUGCUCCACUGCAUUCCAGCCUGGGUGACAGAGGGAGACCCUGUCUCAAAAAUGAAAGAAAGAGAGAGAGAAGGAAGUGAGAGGUGACAGCAUGCUGGCAGCCCUUGCUCGCUGGCCUCAGAGCCCACUCUGGCCAUGCUUGAGGAGCCCUUCAGCCUGCUGCUGCACUAUGGGAGCCCCUCUCUGGGCUGGCCAAGAUCGGAGCCGGCUCCCUCUGCUUGCAGGGAGGUGUGGAGGGAGAGGCGCGGGCGGGAACCCAGGCUGCACGCAGUGCUCUCCGGCCAGCGCAAGUUCCGGGUGGGUGUGAGCUCGGCGACCCCGCACUCGGAGUGGUGGGCCGGCGCCACCUGCCCUGAGCAGUGAGGGGCUUAGCACCUGGGCCAGCAGCUGCGGAGGGUACACCGGGUCCCCCAGCAGUGCCGGCCCGCUGGUGCUGCACUCGAAUACUUGCCGGGCCUCAGCUGCCUCCCUGUGGGGCAGGGCUUGGGACCUGCAGCCUGCCAUGCCCGAGCCUCCCCCCGCCGCCGUGGGCUCCUGCACAGCCCGAGCCUCCCCGAGGAGCGCCACCCCCUGCUCGGCGGCGCCUGGUCCCAUCAACUGCCCAAGGGCUGAGGAGUGCUCCGCCUGCGGCCCUGGUGCAGGAUCCACUGGGUGAAGCCAGCUGAGCUCCUGAGUCUAGUGGGGAUUUGGAGAACAUUUAUGUCUAGCUGAGGGACUGUAAAUGCACCAAUCAGCACUCUGUAUCUAGCUAAUCUGGUGGGGACUUGGAGAACGUUUAUGUCUAGCUAAGGGAUUGUAAAUACACCAAUCAGCACUCUGUUUCUAGCUCAAGGUUUGUAAAUGCACCAAUCAGCACCCUGUGUCUAGCUCAAGGUUUGUAAAUGCACCAAUCAAUGCUCUGUGUCUAGCUCAUCUGGUGGGGACUUGGAGAAACUUUAUGUCUAGCUAAGGGAUUGUAAACAACCAAUCAGCACUCUGUGUCUAGCUCAAGGUUUGUAAAUGCACCAAUCAGCACCCUGUGUCUAGCUCAAGGUUUGUAAAUGCACCAAUCAGCACUCUGUAUCUAGCUAAUCUGGUGGGGACUUGGAGACUCUUUAUGUCUAGCUAAGGGAUUGUAAACAACCAAUCAGCACUCUGUGUCUAGCUCAAGGUUUGUAAAUGCACCAAUCAGCACCCUAUGUCUAGCUCAAGGUUUGUAAAUGCACCAAUCAGCACUCUGUAUCUAGCUAAUCUGGUGGGGACUUGGAGAAUCUUUAUGUCUAGCUAAGGGAUUGUAAAUACACCAAUCAGCACUGUGUGUCUAGCUCAAGGUUUGUAAAUACACCAAUCAGCACCCUGUGUCUAGCUCAAGGUUUGUAAAUGCACCAAUCAGUGCUCUGUGUCUAGCUAAUCUAGUGGGGACUUGGAGAAGUUUUGUGUCUAGCUCAGGGAUUGUAAACGCACCAGUCAGCACCCUGUCAAAAUGGACCAAUCAGCUCUCUGUAAAACAGACCAAUCAGCUCUCUGUAAAACGGACCAACCAGCAGGAUGUGGGUGGGGACAGAUAAGGGAAUAAAAGCAGGCUGUCCGAGCCAGCAGUGGCAACCCACUCACGUCCCCUUCCAUGCUAUGGAAGCUCUGUUCUUUUGCUCUUUGCAAUAAAUCUUGCUGCUGCUCACUCUUUGGGUCCACACUGCCUUUAUGAGCCAUAACACUCACCGCGAAGGUCUGCAACUUCUCUCCAGAGGCCAGCAAGACCACGAACCCACUGGGAGGAAUGAACAACUCCGGACGGGAGGAACGAACCACUCUGGACGCACCGCCUUAAGAGCUAUAACACUCACUGCGAAGGUCUGCAGCUUCAUUCCUGAAGCCAGCGAGACCACGAACCCACCAGAAGGAAGAAACUCUGAACACACCCAAACAUCAGAAGGAACAAACUCCGAACACAUCAGAAGGAACAAACUGCGGACAUGCCGCCUUUAAGAACUGUAACACUCACCACGAGAUUCUGCGGCUUCAUUCUUGAAGUCAGUGAGACCAAGAACCCACCAAUUCCGGAUACAUUUUGGUGACCCAGAUGGGACUAUUACCUAUCGCCAAGCGGUGAGACCACUGCCUAUCGCUGAGCGGUGAGACUAUCACCUAUCGCCAAGCAGUCAACGGCAGGGGUCUAAGGAGUGACUGCCCAACGUGAGGCUUCAAGAUGAGCCAAUUACCAAUUAUGCACGGCGUUUCUCCUUCUCUUCCUUCAUUCCCAUAGAGAAUCCCAUUCCUAUCUCCUUCGCCAGCCCAAGGCAAUGGGCCUCUCCCAGCAACUGGGUGGGCAAGUUUUACCUGCUGGAUAGUGUUGCCUCUUUCCUAGGUAACAGAGUGGCUUUCCUACCUAAGCCAGUCUCUGAUGCAAAGAAGAGAAUGCCACCUCCCUGGAGGACAAGCCUGAGCAACUCCCAAGCUGGCAGAGUGAGUGGCAGCAGGCAGUCAGGCUGGCUCUCCCAAGAGGAGCACAGGCUGCUCUCCUGAUGAGCAGGUCCCACCUGCCUGUGUCACCAACAGUGCGAAGAUCCCGGGGUCCUAUCUCAAGGGCAGGAAGGACAUCCCUGGCCUGAAGCCAGCCAACCCAUUAGGUCACCAGGUUGAUGCCUGCAGGACACACAGAUACUCACUUGGGUUUUUCAUCUGGUAAUGGUUCAGGAAGCCCAGAGUCUCCAGGGCAUCGCUCUUGGAUUCCCACUCCAGCAGUCCAGAGGAGCUGCGCUCACCUGAUUGCAAACCAAGGGGAAAAGUAAAGGUUUUAGACUCACCCAAUAGGAACUAGGCAGCUGCCCACCAACCACCAUGCAAUUAGGGCAAGGAGGUGGGCACACUCGACUCACUUUUGCCUGAGAAUACUUUCACAGAAGAUGGCCGCUUCACUCCCAGCUCAUCGCAGAUCUGCAAAAGAAAACAGGUAGUAAAUGAACUCUGAAACAAAAGGGCCGCCACACAGGAUUCAAGCAGACCAGGCCCUGCAUGACUCAGUACUUGAAGUUUUCAGGAGAAAAGGCUUGUAGAUUUUAUCACAUACCCUAAGGCAUCCCUGUGUCAUAAAAAGGCCAGCAACAAUGCUCUUUAAUUAUUAAGUUGCCUGAGACUGGGAAGCUGCUUUUUCGUUCCCAACUUCAACAGCUAUGUGGAUAUCUGCACCCGGCUGUUUGCUGAACACUGUUUGCUGAAUGCAAGGUCAACAUUUCAGACCACAGCCAGAUCCACUUGAGUUCCUCCUCCCUUCCGCUGCCUCAGUUCCCCCUGACUGAGCUUUACAGGGCCCCACCUUCUGAUGGUAUCAGGGUGAUGGCACCCGAAGCCUACGCCAAUGCGGUUCUUGUGAAAUUGGGCCCUCAUCACUGGGCCUGUGAAGCAGCUUUCCCAGCAAACGAGCAGUUGCCCUGCUUGCCAAAAAUGUAAAAGGAAGGAACGCGGCAAAUGGUGUUGCUAGAAACUUGGUGCCAUUCUCACCCUGUCCAGUUUGAGAGCACAGAUUCCUAUCUGUCCUGGCCUCUGCUGUGUCCCUAGCACUCAACCCAGGGCCAGGCAGGACAGGAGUUCAACAGCUAUUUGCAGAAAAGACUGAAAUGAAUGGCCUACUCAGACGGCCGUGGCAAGGACCCGACUGCCUGCGCAGCUCCACGGCACACACCUCAAAGAAGUUCUCCUCGGUCACCUCCAGCGGGGCGUUGAAGAAGUGCAGCACGUUGCUGGGGUGCUGGAUGCGGUUCUUGGCUGCCUGCUCUGGGGUGGAGAACCGAUUGUUCCGGGAUUCACUGAAGUCUUUGUAACUGCAAGACCCGUCUUCCAACCCGUAUGACUGACCAGGCAUGAUGGCUGGCUGCUUGGAGACACUGCAGCAAGGAAGAAAGGGGAGCCUUUGUCAUACCCAAAGUUGUCCCUGAAGCUUUCCCCUGUGGCCUCCAGAGGCUUAGCUUGCCCUGUGUGCCUUGGGGCAUUGCUCUACACCUGAGGCAAGGCUGACUCACUUUCUCCUGUGGUGUCAGAGACACGUCUGGGAACACACCUGCCACAUCCCAUUUCUGUGUGAGUCAACACCUCGGCCUCACUGUGCUCCUCUGCUGGGCCCCAUUCCCCUCCUUUUCUCUCCCCUGUACCUCUGCUGCCCUCCCGAGCCUGAGCACCUACCAGACAUUCAGCUUCUGCCCAAACAUGAAGUUGUUGUUGAGGUGGGUAAUGGCCCGGUCUACAGCGUAGCCAUCAGCCAUCUCCACCAUGGCGGCCCCCGGCUUGCUUUUCAUGAAUUUCACCUUGGGGAGAGUAGCUGCAGUCAGCACCUCUGUCCAGCUGCCAGGGUCCCCUCUCCUGCCCCUCCCAAGUUAGUGAUAAUAACCCCUGCUCUGGCCUCCCAUGUCCUCACAGUUAAUCGGGACCACUAGAAAAACAUGCCUGGCCCACACCAAGUGCUCAACCCAUAGUGAGAAGCAGAGCCUGGGCCAUGUUUUUAACUGUGGGACAUAACCCACCAGUAAAUCAUUUAGUGAAGCAUGACAGAAAACUGUACAGGAAUCAGAAAUCAAAUCAGCCAUUUUCACCAUUUUGUCUGUUACACACAGACGUGUGUGAUCUAUGGAUGGCUGUGUCUACAGUCACAAGGUAAAAUACUCCUUCAGCUGGGUUACAACAGAGCAGUGCCGGCUCUGGAGCCAGGCAGUCUGGCUCUGAGUCCUGCUUCACAUAAAGGCUAUGUGAACCUGGGCGCGUUAUUUAAGCCCCGUCCUCCACUUCCCCUGUCCAUCUCAUUAAGGAUUAAUGUGAGAAAUUACACAGGUCACUACAUGUAAAGCAUCUUUAACAGUGCCUGGUAACUAACAACACUUCACCUGUGUUACGAACUACUCUAAGUAAUGGGCCAAGUCAUGAGCUGCACAAAGGCCCCCAAGACCCAGACGGGUUUAAUGUUAAGCAAAAUGCCGCCUGGUCUCAGGUAGACACUCAGCCACCGCUAGCCCCAGUCAACUGUCCCAUGGGAAGGCAGAAGGCCCGGUGUUGCCAGGUCUUAAGUUUUCAGGAGGAAAUCCUUAAACGAUGGUGUUUCACUAUAAUGGAUUCAUUUUUAUGUUUUAUAAAUCUCUAUGUUCAUGUACUGGUAUUAGUACUUUUA
Long non-coding RNA from Homo sapiens (human), 6480 nucleotides. RefSeq lists it as uncharacterized. The transcript is spliced from 2 exons. The record is from RefSeq and is a predicted model, not a curated record. NCBI's taxonomy places the organism in Eukaryota, Metazoa, Chordata, Mammalia, Primates, Hominidae.